UGCUAAAAAUUCCAUUUAUAUUUAUUGUUAAAAACUGGCGUGGUUAAUGAAAUAAUCAGAAAGUGGCAUGUGGCAUGCUACUUGUACCUCAUACUAAUGUACAUGAACCAAAUUUUAACAAUAGAAUUAGAUGAAAUUUUUAAUA
Molecule: non-coding RNA, 145 nt
Organism: Gossypium hirsutum (cotton)
Lineage: Eukaryota; Viridiplantae; Streptophyta; Magnoliopsida; Malvales; Malvaceae
Source: Rfam